GCCCAGACUCCUACGGGAGGCAGCAGUGGGGAAUAUUGGGCAAUGGGCGCAAGCCUGACCCAGCAAUGCCGCGUGAAGGAAGGAGGCUUUCGGGUUGUAAACUUCUUUGACAGGGGAAGAGCAGAAGACGGUACCCUGAAAACAAGCCACGGCUAACUACGUGCCAGCAGCCGCGGUAAUACGUAGGUGGCAAGCGUUGUCCGGAUUUACUGGGUGUAAAGGGCGUGCAGCCGGGCUGACAAGUCAGAUGUGAAAUCCCGCGGCUCAACCGCGGAACUGCAUUUGAAACUGUCAGUCUUGAGUACCGGAGAGGUCAUCGGAAUUCCUUGUGUAGCGGUGAAAUGCGUAGAUAUAAGGAAGAACACCAGUGGCGAAGGCGGAUGACUGGACGGCAACUGACGGUGAGGCGCGAAAGCGUGGGGAGCAAACAGGAUUAGAUACCCUAGUAG
This 449-nucleotide ribosomal RNA is filed under the name uncultured bacterium. Its description in RNAcentral is "bacterial SSU rRNA". It matches the Rfam family "Bacterial small subunit ribosomal RNA", at positions 329 to 793 of the family's 1533-position model. The record is from RNAcentral.